This 325-nucleotide long non-coding RNA is filed under the name Citrus sinensis (sweet orange). RNAcentral describes it as "long non-coding RNA (CSIN_LNC001854)". The record is from RNAcentral. Lineage: Eukaryota; Viridiplantae; Streptophyta; Magnoliopsida; Sapindales; Rutaceae.
AUCAAUUUGAUAAGGUUGAGGAAUCCAACAUGGGCAGUGAAAGCGAUAAUAUGGAGUAUGAGGAGGAGGAUGAAAGGGAGGAUGAUGAGGAAUCAGAAGAAGACAGUAAUAAGAUGGCUAAUUAUAAAGUAGAGUUUCAGCGACAGAACACCUCUAAUGGGGGAGGAAAUGGGGCACCCUCUUUUUUAGCCAUGGUUCAGUGACAAUAUACACAUAUUACUGGCUGGUGGCUGAGAUUUCUUCUUGAACAAAAUUUCCUUGAUCACCAGUAUGUACCAUUUGUACGUACCUAGCUAGCUAUAUGUCCAGAAGCUCUCAGCAAAAG